AUGUAUAGAACUCAGUAGUAGAGUAUUUGCCUCUUGUGCACAAAGCCUUGGGUUCAAUCCCUAGUAUCAUA
RNAcentral lists this transfer RNA (71 nucleotides) under Cavia porcellus (domestic guinea pig). It matches the Rfam family "tRNA". From Rfam's summary of the family: Transfer RNA (tRNA) molecules are approximately 80 nucleotides in length. The record is from Rfam by way of RNAcentral. Lineage: Eukaryota; Metazoa; Chordata; Mammalia; Rodentia; Caviidae.